GACGAACGCUGGCGGCGUGCCUAAUACAUGCAAGUUGAGCGAUGAAGCUUGGUGCUUGCACCAAUUUGAAGAGCAGCGAACGGGUGAGUAACGCGUGGGGAAUCUGCCUUUGAGCGGGGGACAACAUUUGGAAACGAAUGCUAAUACCGCAUAACAACUUUAAACAUAAGUUUUAAGUUUGAAAGAUGCAAUUGCAUCACUCAAAGAUGAUCCCGCGUUGUAUUAGCUAGUUGGUGAGGUAAAGGCUCACCAAGGCGAUGAUACAUAGCCGACCUGAGAGGGUGAUCGGCCACAAUGGGACUGAGACACGGCCCAAACUCCUACGGGAGGCAGCAGUAGGGAAUCUUCGGCAAUGGACGAAAGUCUGACCGAGCAACGCCGCGUGAGUGAAGAAGGUUUUCGGAUCGUAAAACUCUGUUGGUAGAGAAGAACGUUGGUGAGAGUGGAAAGCUCAUCAAGUGACGGUAACUACCCAGAAAGGGACGGCUAACUACGUG
This 497-nucleotide ribosomal RNA is filed under the name uncultured bacterium. RNAcentral's name for it is "partial 16S ribosomal RNA". It matches the Rfam family "Bacterial small subunit ribosomal RNA", at positions 28 to 507 of the family's 1533-position model. The record is from RNAcentral.